GUUCUAAUGAGCUCCGACGUUGAGAGACGUUGUUCGGGGCGCCAACUGCUGCAGGCUUUGAUGAUGGAGUACCUACGGAACAUGUGACUUGGAGCAGGUUGCCGGCCGUUUGAGAUACUUUCCUCUCUGUAGAUACUGCAGAAGUUCAUUCACCUCGAUGUGGGCAAAUGUGGACACUCACACAUCACUAGUCUGGCUGACGGCUCUUGUGCUUAGCACUUCUGGGGCCUGCCACUUCCUCAUCUCCAUGUCCUGCCCCUGUGUAACGGCCUGUGUUCUCCUGUGAUAGGCUGGGCCCAAUCCCCACAGCUUUGCUGUCAGGUCUCCACCAACCAGAACGCUGCGUGCUCCCACGUUGCCAUGGAUGCAGUUCUGACUGUGUACCCCAGCAGAUCCCUGUGCUGCAGCUCCUCGACUACCAUCAUGAGGGGCGGCUGCACUGAAACCACACCCAGCAGCUCAGCUCACUUUACCUUUCAGAACCCUCAGGAUGACGUGUCUAUUGUCCAUGCUGGCUCUGUGUAGGCUGGAUGUGUCAUUAGGCUUGAAUGAGAAGGACACUGGCAAGGCAGUGACCUGGUUGAAGACUCCAUGAUGCCUCUCUGUGAACAUCUGAGGUACUGCAUGCUGCACUUCUUGAACUGACAUUGGCAGCUCUUCAUGUUCCAGUGGAUUUAUCCCUGGGGGAGCUUUUCAGAGACAGAGAGAGAGAGAGAGACACAUAGUAGAGAAGAAUAAUACAUAUGUGUGUGUGUAGUUCUUUGGUUAAUUGAGUUAAAAUGAAAACUGCAACAAAAAAAACAGGAACACCGAGCCUUAUGCAUGCUUGCUCACCAUCAAUGCCUUGUAGGUGAUGUCUGUGGCUGUGCCUGUUCAGUGAACUGUGGGAGCGUUUAGGGGCUGUGAUCUGUGUCCGCUUAUGUUUGGGUUCACACCUCAGUAAGAACAGGGUCAGUAAGGUGAUCAGGGUUCCCAGGAGGAGCAGCGUAGGGACGAUGAUCACCGCCUGCAUAUGAAGCAAUACAACUGAGAGGGAAAGAGACGUUCAUGUUUAAAUUUCAAGUACAAGUAGGGAUGGGGAUGUAUUUCAUCAAUUAGAGAUGCACCGAUUGACCGGCUGGCGACCGGAAUUGGACGAUUUUCACGUCAUCGGCCAUGGCCGGUCAGUAUGACAGAUGCCGAUUUUAUGCUGGUCAAAUUCACUCGGGUGCUGCAUGAUUUACAUUGCACAGCAUCAGUAUGCAGGGUUUUUGCUAUAUGCAUGUAGCUGCACAGCUGUCUACUCUACUGAUGUCAGGCGAACAGUCAGCCGCUCUCUCUCCCCCUUUUGAGGCUGAAAAACUGGAACAUGAAAACCAAACUCACGCGGGUCUCGUGAAAUAUGACAGCUAUUGUUUA
Etheostoma cragini (Arkansas darter) is the source of this 1398-nucleotide long non-coding RNA. RefSeq lists it as uncharacterized. The record is from RefSeq and is a predicted model, not a curated record. The transcript is spliced from 6 exons. Lineage: Eukaryota; Metazoa; Chordata; Actinopteri; Perciformes; Percidae.